CCUACGGGUGGCAGCAGUGGGGAAUAUUGCACAAUGGGCGAAAGCCUGAUGCAGCAACGCCGCGUGAGUGAUGAAGGCCUUCGGGUUGUAAAGCUCUGUCUUUUGGGACGAUAAUGACGGUACCAAAGGAGGAAGCCACGGCUAACUACGUGCCAGCAGCCGCGGUAAUACGUAGGUGGCAAGCGUUGUCCGGAUUUACUGGGCGUAAAGGAUGCGUAGGCGGAUUUUUAAGUCAGAUGUGAAAACCCCGGGCUCAACUUGGGGACUGCAUUUGAAACUGGAAGUCUAGAGUGCGGGAGAGGAAAGUGGAAUUCCGAGUGUAGCGGUGAAAUGCGUAGAGAUUAGGAAGAACACCAGUGGCGAAGGCGACUUUCUGGACCGUAACUGACGCUGAGGCAUGAAAGCGUGGGUAGCAAACAGGAUUAGAUACCCCGGUAGUC
RNAcentral lists this ribosomal RNA (440 nucleotides) under uncultured bacterium. Its description in RNAcentral is "partial 16S ribosomal RNA". It matches the Rfam family "Bacterial small subunit ribosomal RNA", at positions 338 to 795 of the family's 1533-position model. The record is from RNAcentral.